This 511-nucleotide ribosomal RNA is filed under the name uncultured bacterium. RNAcentral describes it as "bacterial SSU rRNA". It matches the Rfam family "Bacterial small subunit ribosomal RNA", at positions 30 to 526 of the family's 1533-position model. The record is from RNAcentral.
AUUGAACGCUGGCGGCAGGCCUAACACAUGCAAGUCGAGCGGCAGCGGGAAAGUAGCUUGCUACUUUUGCCGGCGAGCGGCGGACGGGUGAGUAAUGCCUGGGGAUCUGCCCAGUCGAGGGGGAUAACUACUGGAAACGGUAGCUAAUACCGCAUAAUGUCUACGGACCAAAGUGGGGGCUCUUCGGACCUCAUGCUAUCGGAUGAACCCAGGUGGGAUUAGGUAGUUGGUGAGGUAAUGGCUCACCAAGGCGACGAUCUCUAACUGGUUUGGGGGAAUGACCAGUCACACCGGAACUGAGACACGGUCCAGACUCCUACGGGAGGCAGCAGUGGGGAAUAUUGCACAAUGGGCGCAAGCCUGAUGCAGCCAUGCCACGUGUGUGAAGAAGGCCUUCGGGUUGUAAAGCACUUUCAGCGAGGAGGAAAGGUUGGUAGCGAAUAACUGCCAGCUGUGACGUUACUCGCAGAAGAAGCACCGGCUAACUCCGUGCCAGCCGCCGCGGUAAGAC